ACUGGAGCUAAUAAGUUGUAAUUGUUGCAGGCUUCCCGAAUCCACAGCAUCAUUCAAGCGUCAAAGUUUGAAACACUUUCAGAUGCUGCAACGCACAGGUUGCAUAUACUGAUAUUAACUGUAGAAGACCUUCAGGGCUCUUUGACUGGCUGCGGUAUGUUCGUCAUCAAUCUGCCAUUGAUUGUAACAAUUGUGAGUUCCGUCAUCACGUACACUGUCGUGCUUGUGCAGACCAACGAAAGUAUCAUGGCCAACAAGUGCUCCAGAGUGCCUGCAGUAUUGAAGUGACAGAGCAAAGUGUUGUCGAGGUGAAAACAUACGCCAAGUCGAAAUGAAGCAGAAUGUGUCUUACAGCGAAACUGUCUGACUAGGAUCCCGGGAUUUCUUUAUGACGUAACGGCGACAGAAAACUAACAUCAGCAAUGGCUCAUACACCAAAUGCAAUGGCUCAUACCCCCGUAUGGCAGAGGCUACAAACACUCAGCAAAGCGAAGCGAACAGUACAUACACUCUUUGGAAUCACAUACAACAUACAGAACAGCAUACG
Long non-coding RNA from Dermacentor silvarum, 547 nucleotides. RefSeq lists it as uncharacterized. Lineage: Eukaryota; Metazoa; Arthropoda; Arachnida; Ixodida; Ixodidae. The transcript is spliced from 3 exons. The record is from RefSeq and is a predicted model, not a curated record.